Long non-coding RNA from Etheostoma spectabile (orangethroat darter), 75 nucleotides. RefSeq lists it as uncharacterized. The transcript has 3 exons. The record is from RefSeq and is a predicted model, not a curated record. Lineage: Eukaryota; Metazoa; Chordata; Actinopteri; Perciformes; Percidae.
GUCAGUUGUUGUAUUGGACCAUAGUCCCCUGGCGAUAAGGUUAUUUAAAUUUGUGUGUCAUCCGCAGAACUAUGG